ACGGAGGGCGCAAGCGUUGUUCGGAAUUACUGGGCGUAAAGCGCACGCAGGCGGUCUGCUAAGUCCUAUGUGAAAGCCCGGGGCUCAACCCCGGAAUUGCAUGGGAUACUGGUAGACUGGAGACUGGUAGAGGCUAGCGGAAUUCCUGGUGUAGCGGUGGAAUGCGUAGAUAUCAGGAAGAACACCUGUGGCGAAGGCGGCUAGCUGGGCCAGUUCUGACGCUCAUGUGCGAAAGCGUGGGGAGCAAACAGG
This 252-nucleotide ribosomal RNA is filed under the name uncultured bacterium. Its description in RNAcentral is "partial 16S ribosomal RNA". It matches the Rfam family "Bacterial small subunit ribosomal RNA", at positions 525 to 776 of the family's 1533-position model. The record is from RNAcentral.